UACAGAGGUCCCAAGCGUUGUUCGGAUUCAUUGGGCGUAAAGGGUGCGUAGGCGGCGCGGUAAGUCGGGUGUGAAAUCUCGGGGCUUAACUCCGAAACUGCAUUCGAUACUGCCGUGCUUGAGGACUGGAGAGGAGACUGGAAUUUACGGUGUAGCGGUGAAAUGCGUAGAUAUCGUAAGGAAGACCAGUGGCGAAGGCGGGUCUCUGGACAGUUCCUGACGCUGAGGCACGAAGGUCAGGGGAGCAAACAGG
RNAcentral lists this ribosomal RNA (253 nucleotides) under uncultured bacterium. Its description in RNAcentral is "partial 16S ribosomal RNA". It matches the Rfam family "Bacterial small subunit ribosomal RNA", at positions 524 to 776 of the family's 1533-position model. The record is from RNAcentral.